UGGACAAUGUUUCAUGGAUGUUACCUGAGAUGUCUUCCACAACAGCCAUACCACAUAACCCACUGGAUAUCUGAGUGAAGGUUAGAGGCGUCUGGAUGAAGUCUUAGACCCGAAAUAUCCAGCAUUACUUUGUUGAUGGAGUAAUUGGUUGAUGAAACUGGAUUUCCAGGGGAUUUCCCGAACGGUAAUGCUUGCUAACGGAAGGGGAAUUUCUUAAGCAAAAAAUAAACUUUGCGGGUAUUUUCGGAUUGCAACAGCAGGAGGUCGUAUUACGUAUCAAACAAAAGUAAGCGACACAUUGAUGGUUCCAGGGUGGGCGGAACUAACACUGAGUUGAUCGAGAUGUUCAAGAAGCUCUCCACCUAUUUAAUAUAUAAUGGGGGCGCAGUGUUGUUGCAUCCAGAUACGUCAUUCCAAGGAAAACCUGAGAUAUAAACCAAGACAGUAAAUCUUAACCAACACAGCAUCGUAUUUAACUGUAUAACUACACAGAGAACAUACGGAUACUAAAAUGUAUGCUAUUGUGGUGGUAAGACCGAUACUAGUUUCAUGUUUGUUGUGGCAAUUGCGUUAGACAAAGGGACGUGUAUAUAUAACUACCUGAUCAAAGGGAAGUAUUUGAAUACACGCUUUUGUUUCA
Molecule: non-coding RNA, 640 nt
Organism: Ciona intestinalis (vase tunicate)
Lineage: Eukaryota; Metazoa; Chordata; Ascidiacea; Phlebobranchia; Cionidae
Source: RefSeq, a predicted model, not a curated record